Molecule: ribosomal RNA, 460 nt
Filed under: uncultured bacterium
Lineage: Bacteria
Description: partial 16S ribosomal RNA
Rfam family: Bacterial small subunit ribosomal RNA
Source: RNAcentral
CCUACGGGAGACAGCAGUGAGGAAUAUUGGUCAAUGGUCGUAAGACUGAACCAGCCAAGUAGCGUGCAGGAUGAAGGUACUAUGGGUUGUAAACUUCUUUUAUGCGGGAAUAAAGUUCGCCACGUGUGCCGUUUUGUAUGUACCUUAUGAAUAAGCAUCGGCUAACUCCGUGCCAGCAGCCGCGGUAAUACGGAGGAUCCGAGCGUUAUCCGGAUUUAUUGGGUUUAAAGGGAGCGUAGGCGGGUUGUUAAGUCAGCUGUGAAAGUCCGCGGCUCAACCGUAGCACUGCAGUGGGAACUGGCAGGCUUGAGUACGCGGGACGUAUGCGGAAUGCGUGGUGUAGCGGUGAAAUGCUUAGAUAUCACGAAGAACUCCGAUUGCGAAGGCAGCAUACGACAUCGCUACUGACGCUGAAGCUCGAAGGCGUGGGUAUCGAACAGGAUUAGAUACCCGAGUAGUC